AGUGAACGCUGGCGGCAGGCCUAACACAUGCAAGUCGAGCGGCAGCGGGUCCCCGCGAGGGGAUGCCGGCGAGCGGCGGACGGGUGAGGAACACAUCGGAAUCUGCCUGGUUGUGGGGGAUAACGUAGGGAAACUUACGCUAAUACCGCAUGCGACCCUGAGUCGACGGACUGGGGGUGAAAGUGAGGGACCUUCGGGCCUCACGCGACCAGAUGAGCCGAUGUCGGAUUAGCUAGUUGGCGGGGUAACGGCCCGCCAAGGCGACGAUCCGUAGCUGGUCUGAGAGGAUGAUCAGCCACACUGGGACUGAGACACGGCCCAGACUCCUACGGGAGGCAGCAGUGGGAAUCUUGGACAAUGGGCGCAAGCCUGAUCCAGCCAUG
RNAcentral lists this ribosomal RNA (383 nucleotides) under uncultured bacterium. RNAcentral's name for it is "bacterial SSU rRNA". It matches the Rfam family "Bacterial small subunit ribosomal RNA", at positions 30 to 396 of the family's 1533-position model. The record is from RNAcentral.